CUUUCUUGUCUUUUCAGAAACAAGCCAGAUCUAGCAGCCGGCCAGGCUGCUCCAUCUAUUUUUGCUCCUAACCACAGCUGCUGUUGGUAGGAAAGCCAGCCCUUGCUGGGNCUGAGUCUUCACAGGUUGGGAUGGUCCCCAGAGUGCUGGCAGGCUGGAGCCCCAUCAGGGAGGAUAGCAAGGACAUAGGACAGGGGACACACACAGCCUUCUGAACAAACAGCCUCAGGCCACCUGCUGUCCCUCCCCCCAACCUCCUGGAGCCUCACAGGAGCCUCAGGCUGUAACGAAUCUGCAGCCUUCCUCAGGGGCACUGUGGGCGGCUGGGGUUUGUCUUUUGAAGAUGUCCAGAGAUGGGUGAAGAGAGCAGUUGCUUGGUUCAGGGAAUUUCUUUCUUCUUCUUUUUGUUUUUCCUCCCCCUUUCUUGUCUUUUCAGAAACAAGCCAGAUCUAGCAGCCGGCCAGGCUGCUCCAUCUAUUUUUGCUCCUAACCACAGCUGCUGUUGGUAGGAAAGCCAGCCCUUGCUGGGUCCCUGUGACUCUGCCUGUCGGCUGAGAGGGGCUAAGGUGUAGGAGAGGCCAGGUUGGGAGAGUCUGGGUUCUUGACAGUCUGGGAGCAGUCCCCCAGUGCCGCUUCCUGGACGCUGGCCUGAGAGGUCUAGGGGGGGAGUCGGGGGCUGCUUCCCUUGCACCAUCUUGCACUAGGGGUGGGCUGGGGGCAGGGCACCAUCCCUGUGACUAGCUAGCGCUGCCUUCCGUUCCCUGGGCUAACUGUGGCUGUCCUGUGUCUUGCCUGACAGGGGCGGUCCUCUGGAAUGUCACACCAUUGCUCUUAGCCACAGACUGGACUUGAGGCUGAGAUGGACACACCCAGAACCACCUCCCCCCCCCAGGGCAGUACCCUCCACGGGCACAGUUUAGACCUGGUUAAAGACACCCCAUGCUUUGUCCCAUGGCCGUUGGUUCCUCCAUUUCCACCAGCCUGUGCCUUGAGUCCUUUCUCCCAGUGAGAAUGCUCCACAGAGAGAGAGAAGGAGACUGGUUGCUCCCACCCCCCCACACACCCAAGUCGCCAGAAGCCUAGUGCUCUGCCCUCAAGAUCUGGCCUGAGAAGAGGUGAUGCUAAGGCCAGGACAGGCCCUUGGGGACAAAGCCUGCUCUCCACCUCAGUGUGUGUGCCCCCACUCACAGGGACCUCCAUCUUCCCCAUGUCCCUGCCCUAUCCCAUCCCAGACACAUCCACCCAGGCCUUGCCCAGCAUCCAAGAUGGCAGAAGCUGUUCCUGGGCUGCCACUAGCCCAAGGCCCCAGGGCGGCCUAAGGAUGCACCCGACACAAGUGAGCUGUAACCUAGCAACCGGGCCUUCCAGUGGGUUUCUUCCCUUCCCUGUUGAAAGGCACCUUUGCCACUCUUGGGCCCCGCCCCGCCCAGCCUCUCAGAGGGAGGCUGUGAACAGCAAGGUUGAGCAGGAACUGGGGAGUGCAGGCUCAUGCCCGGGGCGAGCUUGGUGACUCAGACCUGCUGUGCUCCCCCAAAGCUGCCUGGGUUGAAGGUGCUCCAGCUCUCUGCAGAGAGUGGACAUUCCGCUCCUCCCACCAAGGAGGGACGGCCUGGGGCCUCAGAGGAGCCAGAAGCCCAGGGGGCCCAGGGGCACCUCACAGUAUAUUCUUCGUAGCCCCAGGGCUCUGAGCUCAGCUGGGGACUGGAGGCUUGGCAGCUUUGCCCUGAGAGACUUUUGCUAAGCUCUUGUCCCUGGCCCCUGCCUGGGCCAUCUCUCAAGGGCAGCCAGGCCGGCCUGGGGAAGUCUGAGCACCCCUGGCCACGAGGGCCCCCUUUCCCGCUCUGUUCAGCGGCUCUUCGUGCUGCCACUGCGGGGUAGAAGCUGGCCUUGAUGGAAUGGUACUUGGAAGGCUGUGUACAUAGUUCUUUUCCUCUUUGUUGUUUCUGGUUUGCUUUGCUUUUGACAGCUUCGUUUUAUUUUGUUGUUGAUGUCACUUUUUGGCCAUGUAAACUAUUUCUGGUAAUUUUAUGUUUUUAUUUAUGAAUAAAGAAUGCCAUUUCUCACGCUCUCCAC
Molecule: long non-coding RNA, 2073 nt
Filed under: Marmota monax (woodchuck)
Lineage: Eukaryota; Metazoa; Chordata; Mammalia; Rodentia; Sciuridae
Source: RNAcentral